GAUGAACGCUGGCGGCGUGCCUAAUACAUGCAAGUCGAGCGAACGGACGAGAAGCUUGCUUCUCUGAUGUUAGCGGCGGACGGGUGAGUAACACGUGGAUAACCUACCUAUAAUACUGGGAUAACUUCGGGAAACCGGAGCUAAUACCGGAUAAUAUUUUGAACCGCAUGGUUCAAAAGUUAAAGACGGUCUUUCUGUCACUUAUAGAUGUAUCCUCGCUGCAUUAGCUAGUUGGUAAGGUAACGGCUUACCAAGGCAACGAUGCAUAGCCGACCUGAGAGGGGGAUCGGCCACACUGGAACUGAGACACGGUCCAGACUCCUACGGGAGGCAGCAGUAGGGAAUCUUCCGCAAUGGGCGAAAGCCUGACGGAGCAACGCCGCGUGAGUGAUGAAGGUCUUCGGAUCGUAAAACUCUGUUAUUAGGGAAGAACAUAUGUGUAAGUAACUGUGCACAUCUUGACGGUACCUAAUCAGAAAGCCACGGCUAACUACGUG
Molecule: ribosomal RNA, 497 nt
Filed under: uncultured bacterium
Lineage: Bacteria
Description: partial 16S ribosomal RNA
Rfam family: Bacterial small subunit ribosomal RNA
Source: RNAcentral